This 30-nucleotide non-coding RNA is filed under the name Mus musculus (house mouse). The record is from RNAcentral. Lineage: Eukaryota; Metazoa; Chordata; Mammalia; Rodentia; Muridae.
UCCACUUAUCAUUGAGUGCAUACCAUGUGU